AGCGGCGCACGGGUGAGUAACACGUAGAUCAUCUCCCCUCGAGUGGUGGAUAACCCUCCGAAAGGAGGACUAAUACAGCAUAAGACCACGACCCAUUGAGGUUGCGGUCAAAGCAGGCCACUACAUGUAAGCUUGCGCUUGAGGAUGAGUCUGCGGCCCAUCAGCUAGUUGGUAAGGUAACGGCUUACCAAGGCUAAGACGGGUAGCUGGUCUGAGAGGAUGAGCAGCCACACUGGAACUGAAACACGGUCCAGACUCCUACGGGAGGCAGCAGUAGGGAAUCUUGCGCAAUGGACGAAAGUCUGACGCAGCGACGCCGCGUGAGCGAUGAAGGCCUUCGGGUCGUAAAGCUCUGUGGGGAGAGACGAAUAAGGUAUGGCUAACAUCCAUGCCGAUGACGGUAUCUCCUUAGCAAGCACCGGCUAACUCUGUGCCAGCAGCCGCGGUAAGACAGAGGGUGCAAACGUUGUUCGGAAUUACUGGGCGUAAAGCGCGCGUAGGCAGCAGCGUGUGUCGGGCGUGAAAUCCCACGGCUCAACCGUGGAAGUGCACUCGAAACUGCGCAGCUAGAGUCUCGGAGAGGAAGGCGGAAUGCUUGGUGUAGAGGUGAAAUUCGUAGAUAUCAAGCAGAACACCGGUGGCGAAGGCGACCUUCUGGACGAUGACUGACGCUGAAGCGCGAAAGCGUGGGGAGCAAACAGGAUUAGAUACCCUGGUAGUCCACGCCGUANACGAUGAGUGCUAGG
Molecule: ribosomal RNA, 746 nt
Filed under: uncultured bacterium
Lineage: Bacteria
Description: bacterial SSU rRNA
Rfam family: Bacterial small subunit ribosomal RNA
Source: RNAcentral